CAGAGAUGCUUUGGUGCCUUCGGGAACUCUGAGACAGGUGCUGCAUGGCUGUCGUCAGCUCGUGUUGUGAAAUGUUGGGUUAAGUCCCGCAACGAGCGCAACCCUUAUCCUUUGUUGCCAGCGGUCCGGCCGGGAACUCAAAGGAGACUGCCAGUGAUAAACUGGAGGAAGGUGGGGAUGACGUCAAGUCAUCAUGGCCCUUACGAGUAGGGCUACACACGUGCUACAAUGGCGCAUACAAAGAGAAGCGACCUCGCGAGAGCAAGCGGACCUCAUAAAGUGCGUCGUAGUCCGGAUUGGAGUCUGCAACUCGACUCCAUGAAGUCGGAAUCGCUAGUAAUCGUAGAUCAGAAUGCUACGGUGAAUACGUUCCCGGGCCUUGUACACACCGCCCGUCACACCAUGGGAGUGGGUUGCAAAAGAAGUAGGUAGCUUAACCUUCGGGAGGGCGCUUACCACUUUGUGAUUCAUGACUGGGGUGAAGUCGUAACAAGGUAAGCGUAGCGAG
RNAcentral lists this ribosomal RNA (508 nucleotides) under uncultured bacterium. RNAcentral describes it as "bacterial SSU rRNA". It matches the Rfam family "Bacterial small subunit ribosomal RNA", at positions 1001 to 1509 of the family's 1533-position model. The record is from RNAcentral.